Thalassomonas actiniarum is the source of this 120-nucleotide non-coding RNA. Lineage: Bacteria; Pseudomonadati; Pseudomonadota; Gammaproteobacteria; Alteromonadales; Colwelliaceae. The record is from Rfam.
UGCCCGGGCUGAAUUAGUGAUCGGCAGGGUAUAUUUUAACUUUAUAAAACUUGGAGUUUUAUUAUGUCGCUAAAUGCAGAGCAAAAAGCAGCUAUCGUUGCUGAAUACGCACAAAAAGAA